This 507-nucleotide ribosomal RNA is filed under the name uncultured bacterium. RNAcentral's name for it is "partial 16S ribosomal RNA". It matches the Rfam family "Bacterial small subunit ribosomal RNA", at positions 29 to 523 of the family's 1533-position model. The record is from RNAcentral.
AGUGAACGCUGGCUGUAGGCCUAACACAUGCAAGUCGACCGGCAGCACAGGAGAGCUUGCUCUCUGGGUGGCGAGUGGCGGAGGGGUGAGGAAUACAUCGGAAUCUACUCUGUCGUGGGGGAUAGCGUAGGGAAACUUACGCUAAUACCGCAUACUACCUACGGGUGAAAGCAGGGGACCUUCGGGCCUUGCGCGAUUGAAUGAGCCGAUGUCGGAUUAGCUACUUGGCGGUGUAAAGGCCCACCAAGGCGGCGAUCCGUAGCUUGGUCGGAGAGGAUGAUCAGCCCCACAGGAACUGAGACACGGUCCAGACUCCUACGGGAGGCAGCAGGGGGGAAUAGUGGACAAUGGGCGCAAGCCUGAUCCAGCCAUACCGCGUGGGUGAAGAAGGCCUUCGGGUUGUAAAGCCCUUUUGUUGGGAAAGAAAUCCAGCUGGCUAAUACCCGGUUGGGAUGACGGUACCCAAAGAAUAAGCACCGGCUAACUUCGUGCCAGCCGUCGCGGUAA